UGCGUAGGCGGGCUAAUAAGUCAGUGGUGAAAUCCUGCCGCUUAACGGUAGAACUGCCAUUGAAACUGCUGGGCUUGAGUACAGUUGAGGUAGGCGGAAUGUGUAGUGUAGCGGUGAAAUGCUUAGAUAUUACACAGAACCCCGAUUGCGAAGGCAGCUUACUAAACUGUAACUGACACUGAGGUACGAAAGCGUGGGGAGCGAACAGGAUUAGAUACCCUGGUAGUCC
RNAcentral lists this ribosomal RNA (229 nucleotides) under uncultured bacterium. RNAcentral describes it as "partial 16S ribosomal RNA". It matches the Rfam family "Bacterial small subunit ribosomal RNA", at positions 568 to 796 of the family's 1533-position model. The record is from RNAcentral.